AAUGAACGUUGGCGGCGUGGAUUAGGCAUGCAAGUCGAGCGAGAACCCCGCAAGGGGGGACAGCGGCAAACGGGGUAGUAAUGUGUCGGAACGUGCCCUGAGGUCGGGGAUAGCGGCGGGAAACUGCCGGUAAUACCCGAUGAUCUGGAAACAGCAAAGGUGUGAUUCCGCCUUUGGAGUGGCCGACAUGGUAUUAGCUGGUUGGCGGGGUAACGGCCCACCAAGGCUGUGAUGCCUAGGGGAUGUGAGAGCAUGAUCCCCACCAUUGGGACUGAGACACUGCCCAGACACCUACGGGUGGCUGCAGUCGAGAAUCUUCGUCAAUGGGCGAAAGCCUGAACGAGCGACGCCGCGUGCGGGAUGAAGGCCUUUGGGUUGUAAACCGCUGUCGAGGGGGAUGAAGGCGUUCCGGUCCUCCGGAACGUUUGACAGAGCCCUGGAGGAAGCACGGGCUAAGUUCGUGCCAGCAGCCGCGGUAAUACGAACUGUGCGAACGUUAUUCGGAAUCACGU
RNAcentral lists this ribosomal RNA (512 nucleotides) under uncultured bacterium. RNAcentral's name for it is "bacterial SSU rRNA". It matches the Rfam family "Bacterial small subunit ribosomal RNA", at positions 28 to 556 of the family's 1533-position model. The record is from RNAcentral.